Molecule: ribosomal RNA, 1191 nt
Filed under: Triticum aestivum (bread wheat)
Lineage: Eukaryota; Viridiplantae; Streptophyta; Magnoliopsida; Poales; Poaceae
Description: partial small subunit ribosomal RNA
Source: RNAcentral
AUGUCCGGGACCCAAGGUUGGGCAGACCUCCCAGAAGGCCUGCUGCACUCUAUCGUCGCUCGGAUGGGCCUGGGCUCUGCCCCAGAUCUUCUUGCAUUUGCUGCCACCUGCCGUUCUUGGGGUACUGCUUUUGCCGGCUCCAUAGCAACAUUCCCACCUCUCCUUCUCCAACCUGAUGUUUCUUCCUCCCCUCCUAAUGCUAGCCCCUUUAGCAACAACCUGGUGCCCAAUCGUCCAUAUCUUGUCACAGAUAUAGCCAAAGUCAACCAUGGUGCCAACCUUUGCUCUGAGAUUCCUCUACGUCUGGAAUGGUUUUCCUUCAUGGGGGCUUCCUUUGGCCAUCUCAUUUUGUACAACAAAAAAUCUUGUAUCGUUGUUGAUGUGUCUAGAGGUGUUAGCGUCUCACCUCCACAACUACCACUCGUCGAAUGCGCUGAGCCCAACUAUGGUGCCCUUACUGCUCCUCUCACAUCACCCAACUCUCAUCUCAUUGUCGAGGCUGGACCACAUAAUCUGUUUUGGCGUGUUGGUAGCGACUCGUGGGUGAGAUGUUCUACUCGUCAUGGACAUAUCAAGCAAAUCGUGGUCUUCAAAGGACGGGUGUUUGGCAUGGAUUCUGAUCGCAGAAUCUUCAAAGUGCACUUGACACCCCAGAUUAGCAUCCAAGAACUACCAGUCAUCGAGUCAAGCAUGAUCAGUAAGCGGAAUCUUUCCAAUGCAUGGCUGGUGGCGUGCGGCGAUAUGCUUCUCUUGGUCGGCUGUCGGGGAUCUAUCAUAGUAUCAGGGGUAACCUUUGAAGUCUUUCGCCUUGACCUAUCAUUUGAGCCUGCAUUGUGGUUCAAGGUGGAGAAGCUAGAGCAUUGGGCGAUAUUCAUCAGCACGGACAAGAGAAGCCAGGCUUUGUCUUGCAUGAACCCAGAGAUAUGGGGAGGGCGGAGCAACUGCAUAUACUGCUAUAACCAUGAGUCUGGACAUUGGAUUGCACUUGAGCUCGGCAAGCCGCUGCAGGGAGAUGUCUUUAUUUUCAUGGGUUGUGACGCCAAGGUGCAACCUAUGUGGGUUGUCCCCAGCAUGCUCUCUCUGUGUAGCAGGUUUGAUUUUGUCUUUGUGGUUUCCCUUCUACUCUUUUGGUUUGCUGAAAAUUUAGUUUUCCGGCCGAGCGACGACAACUCCAUAGAAAUCUUGCGAUAA